UGAAUACAACAAAUACAUUUUAAUUCAAAAAAAUGAAAUAUAUAAAAUUGAAUAUGUAGUAUCACACAAUAUUCGUCGGUAGACACGAAGUGCCUGUACACACUAGUAAUUAUAAUUGCCCAUUAAGUUUUCAAUAUUAAAAUAACCAUGUAAUAUGCUCAAUUAACCAUGCACAUUAUGAAAUUUAAUGAAUCAGGAC
Molecule: long non-coding RNA, 199 nt
Filed under: Lupinus angustifolius (narrow-leaved blue lupine)
Lineage: Eukaryota; Viridiplantae; Streptophyta; Magnoliopsida; Fabales; Fabaceae
Description: long non-coding RNA (LANG_LNC002079)
Source: RNAcentral